This 420-nucleotide ribosomal RNA is filed under the name Fusobacteriota bacterium. RNAcentral describes it as "Fusobacteria bacterium partial 16S ribosomal RNA". It matches the Rfam family "Bacterial small subunit ribosomal RNA", at positions 355 to 776 of the family's 1533-position model. Lineage: Bacteria; Fusobacteriati; Fusobacteriota. The record is from RNAcentral.
UGGGGGAUAUUGCACAAUGGGCGAAAGCCUGAUGCAGCGACGCCGCGUGGGGGAUGAAGGCCUUCGGGUUGUAAACUUCUUUUGCUCUGAACAAGGCAUGCUUUUGGGGUGUGUUGAGUGUAGGGGUUGAUUAGCGCCGGCUAACUACGUGCCAGCAGCCGCGGUAAUACGUAGGGCGCGAGCGUUGUCCGGAAUUAUUGGGCGUAAAGGGCUUGUAGGUGGCUGGUUGCGUCUGUCGUGAAAGCUCAUGGCUUAACUGUGGGUUUGCGGUGGGUACGGGCUGGCUGGAGUGCAGUAGGGGAGGCUGGAAUUCCUGGUGUAGCGGUGGAAUGCGCAGAUAUCAGGAGGAAUACCGGUGGCGAAGGCGGGUCUCUGGGCUGUUACUGACGCUGAGGAGCGAAAGCGUGGGGAGCGAACAGG